GGGCCCAUAGCUCAGCUGGAAGAGCCACCGGCUCAUAACCGGCAGGUCCCUGGUUCGAACCCAGGUGGGCCCACCA
RNAcentral lists this transfer RNA (76 nucleotides) under Deltaproteobacteria bacterium RBG_19FT_COMBO_52_11. Its description in RNAcentral is "tRNA-Met". It matches the Rfam family "tRNA". From Rfam's summary of the family: Transfer RNA (tRNA) molecules are approximately 80 nucleotides in length. Their secondary structure includes four short double-helical elements and three loops (D, anti-codon, and T loops). The record is from RNAcentral. Lineage: Bacteria; Deltaproteobacteria.